UACGUAGGGUGCGAGCGUUAAUCGGAAUUACUGGGCGUAAAGUGUGCGCAGGUGGCCGCGCAAGUCGAGUGUGAAAUCCCUCGGCUUAACCGGGGAACUGCGUCUGAUACUGGAUGGCUUGAGUUUGGGAGAGGGAUGCGGAAUUCCAGGUGUAGCGGUGAAAUGCGUAGAUAUCUGGAGGAACACCGGUGGCGAAGGCGGCAUCCUGGACCAACACUGACACUGAGGAGCGAAAGCCAGGGGAGCAAACGGG
This 253-nucleotide ribosomal RNA is filed under the name uncultured bacterium. RNAcentral's name for it is "partial 16S ribosomal RNA". It matches the Rfam family "Bacterial small subunit ribosomal RNA", at positions 524 to 776 of the family's 1533-position model. The record is from RNAcentral.